Molecule: small nucleolar RNA, 89 nt
Filed under: Ananas comosus (pineapple)
Lineage: Eukaryota; Viridiplantae; Streptophyta; Magnoliopsida; Poales; Bromeliaceae
Source: RNAcentral
GGAGGGCUGUGAGGAAAUUAAACAGCUUCAAAUGCUAGUUCUGCUUCUGAUAAUUCAUGAUUGAUAAGCUGAUAAUUAUUGAGCCUUGA